AAGGAUAUAGUUCAGUGGCAGAGUGCAUGCCUAGCAUGCAUGAGGUCUGGGUUCAAUACCCAGUACCUCUA
RNAcentral lists this transfer RNA (71 nucleotides) under Camelus ferus (Wild Bactrian camel). It matches the Rfam family "tRNA". Rfam says of the family: Transfer RNA (tRNA) molecules are approximately 80 nucleotides in length. Their secondary structure includes four short double-helical elements and three loops (D, anti-codon, and T loops). Lineage: Eukaryota; Metazoa; Chordata; Mammalia; Artiodactyla; Camelidae. The record is from Rfam by way of RNAcentral.